This 350-nucleotide long non-coding RNA is filed under the name Serinus canaria (Common canary). RNAcentral describes it as "lncRNA (ENSSCAG00000010839.1)". The record is from RNAcentral. Lineage: Eukaryota; Metazoa; Chordata; Aves; Passeriformes; Fringillidae.
UAUCAUUUCUCAUUAAAGUUCUUUUAACACUCACAGCUUUAUCAGUUACCAGCAAGCUCAUCACAGCAGCCAGCUGAAAGUUAUUAUGGAAAAUGGGUAAAUUGGAGUCUUUAAAGGAGCUGCCAACUUGCAUUUGCCUGAGUUACUUCAGCAGUGGAGAGGAGAGGAAGAAUUCCAGACACGUCAUCCUGAUUUCACAAGUGUGCAGAGAUCUCCAGAGUGGACUUGCCCAUCUGUGUGAGGAGGAAGGCUAUACAUGCAAAUUCAGAUUCCUGAAGCAUUCCCACUAACUCUGCCCUUCUGUUCUGGCAGAACGCGGAAAAACUGUGGGGUUUGUGUUUUCUUUUAUU